GCUUCAUUAGCUCAGGGGCAGAGCGUGGAGCUGUUAAGCUUUAGGAUCCCCUCUCUAGUCGAUGACGGAGAACUCCAAGGUCACUGGUUCGAAACCAGUAUGAAGCG
Molecule: non-coding RNA, 107 nt
Organism: Acaromyces ingoldii
Lineage: Eukaryota; Fungi; Basidiomycota; Exobasidiomycetes; Exobasidiales; Cryptobasidiaceae
Source: the annotation of a RefSeq genome assembly